RNAcentral lists this ribosomal RNA (513 nucleotides) under uncultured bacterium. RNAcentral describes it as "partial 16S ribosomal RNA". It matches the Rfam family "Bacterial small subunit ribosomal RNA", at positions 28 to 523 of the family's 1533-position model. The record is from RNAcentral.
GACGGACGCUGGCGGCAUGCCUAAUACAUGCAAGUCGAGCGAACAGAUGAAGUGCUUGCACUUCUGACGUUAGCGGCGAACGGGUGAGUAACACGUAAGGAAUCUACCUAUAAGCGGAGGAUAACAUUCGGAAACGGGUGCUAAUACCGCAUAAUAUCUUCUUCCGCAUGGAAGAAGAUUGAAAGACGGCUCUGCUGUCUCUUAUAGAUGACACUUCGGUGCAUUAGUUAGUUGGUGGGGUAAUGGCCUACCAAGACGAUGAUGCAUAGCCGACCUGGGAGGGUGAUCGGCCACAUUGGGACUGAGACACGGCCCAAACUCCUACGGGAGGCAGCAGUAGGGAAUCUUCCGCAAUGGACGAAAGUCUGACGGAGCAACGCCGCGUGAGUGAUGAAGGCUUUCGGGUCGUAAAACUCUGUUGUUAGGGAAGAACAAGUACGAGAGUAACUGCUCAUACCUUGACGGUACCUAACCAGAAAGCCACGGCUAACUACGUGCCAGCAGCAGCCGCGG